UAAGGUUUCAUUGUCUAAGCUUCCACCAGUGAGGGAUAAAAGCUUGUAUGUGAAUAUUCCUUUCUUGUCUACAGCCAUACCGUCCUGAACACGCCCAAUCUCAUAUGAAUAUUCCUUUCUUUUUCCCCACAAAAUGAAAUAUCCUGAGACUCCAUAUAUAUUGCUUCUCAGAAAUCAAGUCACCCUCAUCAAGCAAGCAGGUGCCUGAAGCAGCAGCCUACUGAGCUGGACUGACAGGAUGGGGGAGAAGUCAAAUCAGUCUGAAGUGGGGCACUUGCUUUGAUAAGACAGGUGUUUUCAUUACUGGCAACAGGUGCACCACAGAGUCCAGAAAGAGAUCUUGCCAAUAUCUCAAUACCUGCUUAUAGCAGCCAGAUCACUGGCUGACCGAAGCUACAGAAGAAGACUUGAAACUGUCCUGCGAGGAUGGGGUGAGCAGGAAGCAUCAGGAGAGGUGCGCUCACAGACACCCAGCCCCGAGGCCACUCUCCUCUUAGAGAGUCCACAACACCACACCUCACAGGAGCUGAACAACAACGGGUGCCGAUGUCCGGACGUACCUGGAUGGUGAAGAUAACCAGAUUUGCUUGUUUGGGGUCUGCUUGUUGAUCACGUAGGUUCCUAGAUCUCCACCCAGUUUAACUGUUAAAACACCACUCUGGCGGACCAGGUGGCAAAAGCAUGAGGAAAAUAAAACAAAGCAAAGUUACCACUUUGUCACAAUUGCUUCAUAUCUCGACACCCUGGCAAGUACACAACACACCCAUGAAGACGCGUCUUUCGUGUUCAGGAGGAGCAGAUCAUGCCAGAAGCACACUGCUUUCAGUCAGACUCUGAUUAAUCAGGCUGUGCUCUCCCGCAUUCCCCGGGGACUCCCAGUGUUCCUGUCUCCAGGUGAGGAAGCAGCAGAGGCCUGCCUGAGGAGGAGCCUCCACAUCCUGCCUGCUGCCUUAGUCCCCUCAAAGGCCAUCGGAACACACAAAAGGAUGCUAAAAAAAUGCAGACACCAACUCUACCUGGGUACCACGUCAGCCCGAAGGUGGGACAGGACAAGUUCAUUACCCAAACAAGGAAAACAGGCAAAGUCGAGGGAAGGAGUCAAACCACCUGCUUUGCUGGUCUUAGAAGAGCCAUAGCACCAGCUCUGCUGGUAGAAGGCAGACACUCCAGACAGUUUUUGUUUUCAGAUCCUUCCCACGCAUCUCACAAGCUGCUCUCAAGGGCCCUGAAUUCUUUAAAAGACUGGUUGGUCCAUCUUUGCUCAAUAAAUGCUCAUUUAAAUUUGAAAACACUCUUUAAACAAAGGAGCCCUUUACUCUUAAGGUCUGAGGUUUCUUUAGAAUGCUCAGAAUAUUACAGAAGCAGCCACACUGCCCAGUCCCUUUAUUGGAGCUGGUGUGCAAAAGGCAGCCCCUGGCUGUUCCCCACCCCGGGCAUAGCCCAUGGAGACACACGGCCGCUUUUCUGUGGGCUUCUAAGCCCCUUUCCAAUCAAGAGGCCCUGAACAUUUCUUAGAACACUUUGUGUUUGGUUUGUGUGAUAAUAAUAACAUAUAAUAUAUAUGAUAUACAUAAUGUAACUGAUAGGCAAGGGAGGACUCAACUGGGUUACACUUUUUUUUUAAAAGAGAUGUUAUUUGAGAGAAAGAAUAAGAGAGAAAGAGAAAGAGCACGAGGGGAACGGUAGAGGGAGAAGGAGAAACAGGUUCCCCGAGGCCAACACAGGACCCUGGAAUCACAACCUGAGCCGAAGGCAGAUCCCCAACCGACUGAGUCACUCAAGUGCCCCUGAAUUAUACUUUUAACAACAUUUUUUUCUGAUGAAAAAUGAAACAAAGAGGAAUUAUACAGACAUCAAAAAUACAAGAGUCUAAAUAAAAUGAAAUCAAUAAAAAUAUUAACCAAUA
This is a long non-coding RNA of Canis lupus familiaris (dog), 1906 nucleotides long. RefSeq lists it as uncharacterized. The record is from RefSeq and is a predicted model, not a curated record. The transcript is spliced from 3 exons. NCBI's taxonomy places the organism in Eukaryota, Metazoa, Chordata, Mammalia, Carnivora, Canidae.